This 738-nucleotide ribosomal RNA is filed under the name Triticum aestivum (bread wheat). Its description in RNAcentral is "partial small subunit ribosomal RNA". Lineage: Eukaryota; Viridiplantae; Streptophyta; Magnoliopsida; Poales; Poaceae. The record is from RNAcentral.
AUGGGGUCCGAAGCCGGCGGCGGCGCCGCCGCGAUUGACCUGCUCCGCUCGGCGGCGCCCUUCCUGCCGGACGCCGACCUUCUCCUGACGCCCGGCACGGGGCUCGUCCUCGUCGACCUCGUUAACGGCUUCUGCACCGUCGGCGCCGGGAACCUCGCCCCUGUCACCCCAAAUAAGCAGAUCGAGAAGAUGGUGGAGGAGUCUACCAGGCUUGCCAAGGUGUUCUGCCAGAGGAACUGGCCGGUCUUUGCGUUCCUUGAUACCCACCAUCCCGAUAGGCCCGAGCCGCCUUUCCCGCCGCACUGCAUCAUCGGCUCCGGUGAAGAAAACUUUGUUCCAGCUCUGGAGUGGCUGGAGAAUGAUCCAAAUGUGACAAUGAGGCGCAAGGACUGCAUUGAUGGUUAUCUUGCUUCAUUUGAGAAGGACGGGUCCAAUGUUUUCAGCGAGUGGGUCGCAAAGUUCCAGAUCAAAACCGUUUUGGUUGUAGGAAUAUGCACUGACUUCUGUGUUUUGGACUUUGUGAGUUCUACUCUGGCUGCAAGAAACAUUGGCCGAGUGCCCCCGUUGGAAGAUGUUGUGAUCUAUUCCGAGGGAUGUGCGACAUUUGACCUCCCUGUCGAAGUAGCCAGGAGUAUCAAGGGAGCUUUGGCCCAUCCACAGGAUCUUAUGCAUCACAUGGGACUUUACAUGGCCAAAUCAAGGGGUGCGAAGAUAGUUGACGGAAUUCUCGAAGAAUAA